RNAcentral lists this ribosomal RNA (1443 nucleotides) under uncultured organism. RNAcentral's name for it is "16S ribosomal RNA". It matches the Rfam family "Bacterial small subunit ribosomal RNA". The record is from RNAcentral.
CAGGCUUAACACAUGCAAGUCGAGGGGCAGCACAGGUAGCAAUACCGGGUGGCGACCGGCGCACGGGUGAGUAACGCGUAUGCAACUUGCCUAUCAGAGGGGGAUAACCCGGCGAAAGUCGGACUAAUACCGCAUGAAGCAGGGGCCCCGCAUGGGGAUAUUUGCUAAAGAUUCAUCGCUGAUAGAUAGGCAUGCGUUCCAUUAGGCAGUUGGCGGGGUAACGGCCCACCAAACCGACGAUGGAUAGGGGUUCUGAGAGGAAGGUCCCCCACAUUGGUACUGAGACACGGACCAAACUCCUACGGGAGGCAGCAGUGAGGAAUAUUGGUCAAUGGCCGAGAGGCUGAACCAGCCAAGUCGCGUGAGGGAUGAAGGUUCUAUGGAUCGUAAACCUCUUUUAUAAGGGAAUAAAGUGCGGGACGUGUCCCGUUUUGUAUGUACCUUAUGAAUAAGGAUCGGCUAACUCCGUGCCAGCAGCCGCGGUAAUACGGAGGAUCCGAGCGUUAUCCGGAUUUAUUGGGUUUAAAGGGUGCGUAGGCGGCCUUUUAAGUCAGCGGUGAAAGUCUGUGGCUCAACCAUAGAAUUGCCGUUGAAACUGGGGGGCUUGAGUAUGUUUGAGGCAGGCGGAAUGCGUGGUGUAGCGGUGAAAAUGCAUAGAUAUCACGCAGAACCCCGAUUGCGAAGGCAGCCUGCCAAGCCAUUACUGACGCUGAUGCACGAAAGCGUGGGGAUCAAACAGGAUUAGAUACCCUGGUAGUCCACGCAGUAAACGAUGAUCACUAGCUGUUUGCGAUACACUGUAAGCGGCACAGCGAAAGCGUUAAGUGAUCCACCUGGGGAGUACGCCGGCAACGGUGAAACUCAAAGGAAUUGACGGGGGCCCGCACAAGCGGAGGAACAUGUGGUUUAAUUCGAUGAUACGCGAGGAACCUUACCCGGGUUUGAACGCAUUCGGACCGAGGUGGAAACACCUUUUCUAGCAAUAGCCGUUUGCGAGGUGCUGCAUGGUUGUCGUCAGCUCGUGCCGUGAGGUGUCGGCUUAAGUGCCAUAACGAGCGCAACCCUUGCCACUAGUUACUAACAGGUAAAGCUGAGGACUCUGGUGGGACUGCCAGCGUAAGCUGCGAGGAAGGCGGGGAUGACGUCAAAUCAGCACGGCCCUUACAUCCGGGGCGACACACGUGUUACAAUGGCGUGGACAAAGGGAAGCCACCUGGCGACAGGGAGCGAAUCCCCAAACCACGUCUCAGUUCGGAUCGGAGUCUGCAACCCGACUCCGUGAAGCUGGAUUCGCUAGUAAUCGCGCAUCAGCCAUGGCGCGGUGAAUACGUUCCCGGGCCUUGUACACACCGCCCGUCAAGCCAUGGGAGCCGGGGGUACCUGAAGUCCGUAACCGCGAGGAUCGGCCUAGGGUAAAACUGGUGACUGGGGCUAAGUCAUAAC